UGAGGUAAUAAAACAAUGAUUCUAGAACUUCCCUGGUGACUCAGUGGUAAAGGACCUACUUGCCAAAAGGAGACAUGGAUCCAUCUACGCAAAGCAAAAAUAAACAGACUUGUUAGAAAAGAUCAUAGCAAUAGAAGGAACAGAGCACAAUCAUGUCUGCCCAGCAUUGCAGGAUUGUAUGAUGGAGGGUCUGAUAUUUUUAAGGAAGAAUCAGUGCCACGUGGUGGCCAGCCAAAUGGACUGGGAAGAGAAGGCAGCAAAAAGCUGAGCUGAAGUGACUCAGAUACUUCCUUGAAAAACACCUACUUCUUGCUUCCAUUAAUUAAGAUGGAGGAAAUAAAAGCAUCCUUGAACUGACUUAUAAGGAGCAGGGAGAACUGAUGCUUUUAGUUUUAAACAUAUUGUUCUCAUAUGCUAUGGGUCAGCUAAAUCGAGCAGCAGUCCUGUAGAGCAAAACUAUACCGUGUGUUUCAUAAUUUUUAUAUUAAACAUAACAUUAAAACAUUAA
Long non-coding RNA from Odocoileus virginianus texanus, 508 nucleotides. RefSeq lists it as uncharacterized. The record is from RefSeq and is a predicted model, not a curated record. NCBI's taxonomy places the organism in Eukaryota, Metazoa, Chordata, Mammalia, Artiodactyla, Cervidae.